UACGUAGGGUGCGAGCGUUGUCCGGAAUUAUUGGGCGUAAAGGGCUCGUAGGCGGUCUGUCACGUCGGGAGUGAAAACUCAGGGCUUAACCCUGAGCCUGCUUCCGAUACGGGCAGACUAGAGGUAUGCAGGGGAGAACGGAAUUCCUGGUGUAGCGGUGAAAUGCACAGAUAUCAGGAGGAACACCGGUGGCGAAGGCGGUUCUCUGGGCAUUACCUGACGCUGAGGAGCGAAAGUGUGGGGAGCGAACAGG
Molecule: ribosomal RNA, 253 nt
Filed under: uncultured bacterium
Lineage: Bacteria
Description: partial 16S ribosomal RNA
Rfam family: Bacterial small subunit ribosomal RNA
Source: RNAcentral